AAUAAAAUAAAAUAAAAUAAAUAGAAAUCAUGCAAAUUUAAAAAAGGAAAAUAUUUUAUUGCAAAUUUAAAAAAUAAAGUCACCAAUCUCAUGUAAUUUUCUGAAAAUAAAUAAGUAGAUGAAUAAAUAAAUAAAAUAAGAAAAUAAAUAAAUAUCAAAUACAUAUAAUCAAUAAUCUAAAUAUUAAACUAAAACAAAAUAAAAAAUGAAAAAAAUCAAGC
This 221-nucleotide long non-coding RNA is filed under the name Vitis vinifera (wine grape). RNAcentral's name for it is "long non-coding RNA (VVIN_LNC005077)". Lineage: Eukaryota; Viridiplantae; Streptophyta; Magnoliopsida; Vitales; Vitaceae. The record is from RNAcentral.